AUGAACGCUGGCGGCGUGCCUAAUACAUACAAGUCGAGCGAACGGACGAGAAGCUUGCUUCUCUGAUGUUAGCGGCGGACGGGUGAGUAACACGUGGAUAACCUACCUAUAAGACUGGGAUAACUUCGGGAAACCGUAGCUAAUACCGGAUAAUAUUUUGAACCGCAUGGUUCAAAAGUGAAAGACGGUCUUGCUGUCACUUAUAGAUGGAUCCGCGCUGCAUUAGCUAGUUGGUAAGGUAACGGCUUACCAAGGCAACGAUGCAUAGCCGACCUGAGAGGGUGAUCGGCCACACUGGAACUGAGACACGGUCCAGACUCCUACGGGAGGCAGCAGUAGGGAAUCUUCCGCAAUGGGCGAAAGCCUGACGGAGCAACGCCGCGUGAGUGAUGAAGGUCUUCGGAUCGUAAAACUCUGUUAUUAGGGAAGAACAUAUGUGUAAGUAACUGUGCACAUCUUGACGGUACCUAAUCAGAAAGCCACGGCUAACUACGU
RNAcentral lists this ribosomal RNA (495 nucleotides) under uncultured bacterium. RNAcentral's name for it is "partial 16S ribosomal RNA". It matches the Rfam family "Bacterial small subunit ribosomal RNA", at positions 29 to 506 of the family's 1533-position model. The record is from RNAcentral.